UACGUAGGGACCAAGCGUUGUUCGGAUUUACUGGGCGUAAAGGGCGCGUAGGCGGCGAAUCAAGUCAGCUGUGAAAUCUCCGAGCUUAACUCGGAACGGUCAGCUGAUACUGUUUUGCUAGAGUGCAGAAAGGGCAACCGGAAUUCUUGGUGUAGCGGUGAAAUGCGUAGAUAUCAAGAGGAACACCUGAGGCGAAGGCGGGUUGCUAGGCUGACACUGACGCUGAAGCGCGAAAGCUAGGGUAGCAAACGGG
RNAcentral lists this ribosomal RNA (253 nucleotides) under Aridibacter sp. RNAcentral's name for it is "partial 16S ribosomal RNA". It matches the Rfam family "Bacterial small subunit ribosomal RNA", at positions 524 to 776 of the family's 1533-position model. The record is from RNAcentral. Lineage: Bacteria; Pseudomonadati; Acidobacteriota; Blastocatellia; Blastocatellales; Blastocatellaceae. RNAcentral also lists the same sequence under 1 other name.